UACGAAGGGUGCAAGCGUUAAUCGGAAUUACUGGGCGUAAAGCGCGCGUAGGUGAUUCAGUAAGUUGGAAGUGAAAUCCCCGGGCUCAACCUGGGAACUGCUUUCAAAACUGCUGAGCUAGAGUACGGUAGAGGGUGGUGGAAUUUCCUGUGUAGCGGUGAAAUGCGUAGAUAUAGGAAGGAACACCAGUGGCGAAGGCGACCACCUGGACUGAUACCGACACUGAGGUGCGAAAGCGUGGGGAGCAAACAGG
This 253-nucleotide ribosomal RNA is filed under the name uncultured bacterium. RNAcentral's name for it is "partial 16S ribosomal RNA". It matches the Rfam family "Bacterial small subunit ribosomal RNA", at positions 524 to 776 of the family's 1533-position model. The record is from RNAcentral.